This is a long non-coding RNA of Zingiber officinale, 1026 nucleotides long. RefSeq lists it as uncharacterized. The record is from RefSeq and is a predicted model, not a curated record. The transcript is spliced from 4 exons. Lineage: Eukaryota; Viridiplantae; Streptophyta; Magnoliopsida; Zingiberales; Zingiberaceae.
AAUUCAAACUUCAUCGCUAAAUUUUAGAUUAGGGCGAAUUUCGAAUUCGUCGCAAAGUUUAGGAUUAAAUUCCUGAUCCCUAACUCUAAAUCCCGAUCUUCUCCUCUCUUACACGCGACAUCGACCCCUCAACCACCGUGCCCUCUCCGACCUCUACCGCCAUGCGAUCUCUUCUACAGAAACUCCUAUUCCAAGGUCUCACCUUCUCUUCGCCUCCAGCCACUCCGUUGUCUGCAGCUACAGCAAGUGGGUCGAUCGUCUCCAUUUCACCCCCUCCAUAGACACUGACAAAUCCUCCCCUUUCCUCCCCAUCAACUUCUACCAAGUACCCGACAUUGGACGCCACCGUCACCUAUUUGGGUUCACAAAAGUUAAUGGAGAAGGCCAAGCCCAUUCCUGGUGCCAAGGUGGAGAACAACAAGUUUUGUGUAUCCGUCCACUUCAGAUGUGUGGAAGAAAAGAUUCUAAAACACUAUCACUGGAGGAUUCCCAUGUCGAAGGAUGUGAUCCGUUAGAUAGGUGCAUCAACGAGGAAGGAUAUGUUUGCUGCUUGCCUGAGUAUCUCAACAAAUUGCUUGAAAAAAUAAUCCAAAAUAAGAAUCCCUUUACAGGUUCAGAGUGGACUGGACAGUCCGGGAGCUGAGGAUUACUCAAAGGAGAAAGCUGUUGACACUUGACAGCAUUCUAGGAACUCAUGUUUGUUUGUUUGUUUCAUCCUCAACCUGUUUGUUUGUUUUCUAAUGCAGGAAAGAAGAAGAGAGUCUGGAAGGAGGAGAAAGUGAAUACCGAGGAAGAAGAGGGAACUUAAACUUGAAGAAUGUGUGUUUUAUAUGAUAUGAUGACUUGUUUAUGGAUAUUUUCUUUGUUAUGGGAUUAUUUAAGUGUGUUUGUUUUGAAUUUGUAUCUUUGGUAAGCUUGAAUUUGUAUGUGUUGUAUAUGACUUGAGAGUAUAUGAUUGUGUUUAACCUUGAAUUAUGUGUAUGCUGAUCAUUAUUAAUAUGAAAUAGAGAGGUUUGAUUUGUAUUA